AACAGUUUCUCACAGAGUUGUUCAGAAGCAAGUAACACAACAUGAGAAGCACCUCGUUCAGGCCUGGUAGGGGCCCCUUGCUGCUCUUUUUUUGGCAUCCUCCUUGGGCUGGGAUGUCUCCAUCAGCACACUGGGGGGGAACCUUGAGGAAGGAAGGAGGUCUGGCUGCUUCCAGUGCACACCUUGAGUCCUCAAGCCUGAGCUAAAGGGUCCUUAGCUCCACUGGAUGACAUUGUGCCAGGGUUAGCGGGGGGGGGCAAGUAUCAGAUAAUGAUUGUAUGUGCAUUUGUCAUUUCUGUCCACAUCCCUGAGGACCACCACCACCAUCAGGAGCAGAGGCUUACGGUUAUAAUGGGAGAGGAGGACAUUGGUGGAACACCCUCUCUGGGAGUGUCAUGAGAGCUGUUGCUCUCUUCCACCCCAUGUCCAACUAGGAUUUACUAAAGAAAUGCAGGCAAGUUCUAUUAAUAAAAUGCUAUCACAUUAAUUUAAAAAUGCUAUCACACCAAAUUGAAAAAGCCAA
RNAcentral lists this long non-coding RNA (523 nucleotides) under Marmota monax (woodchuck). The record is from RNAcentral. Lineage: Eukaryota; Metazoa; Chordata; Mammalia; Rodentia; Sciuridae.